CACCUUUUGUUUAUCCAUUCAUCUGUGGGUGGACACUUGCUCCCACCUUUUGGCUGUGGUGAACAAUGCUGCUGCAGACAUGGUGGCUGUGGUGAACGGUGUCGAGACAUGGUGGCUGUGGUGGACGGUGCUGCUGAGACAUGGUGGCUGUGGUGAACGGUGCCGAGACAUGGUGGCUGUGGUGAACAGUGCCAAGACAUGGUGGCUGUGGUGGACGGUGCUGCUGAGACAUGGUGGCUGUGGUGAACGGUGCCGAGACAUGGUGGCUGUGGUGGACGGUGCUGCUGAGACAUGGUGGCUGUGGUGAACGGUGCUGCUGAGACAUGGUGGCUGUGGUGAACGGUGCUGCUGAGACAUGGUGGCUGUGGUGAACGGUGCUGAGACAUGGUGGCUGUGGUGGACGGUGCUGCUGAGACAUGGUGGCUGUGGUGAACAGUGCUGAGACAUGGGGCUGUGGUGAAUGGUGCUGCCGAGACAUGGUGGCUGUGGUGAAUGGUGCUGCUAAUGUGUCUAGAAUUGGUGGAUUCUUGGUCUCACUGACUUCAAGAAUGAAGCCGCAGACCCUCGCAGUGAGUGUUACAGUUCUUAAAGAUGGUGUGUCCGGAGUUUGUUCCUUCUGAUGUUCAGAUGUGUUUGGAGUUUCUUCCUUCUGGUGGGUUCGUGGUCUCACUGGCUUCAGGAGUGAAGCUGCAGACCUUUGCAGU
RNAcentral lists this long non-coding RNA (704 nucleotides) under Homo sapiens (human). RNAcentral's name for it is "non-protein coding lnc-RNF223-4:2". Lineage: Eukaryota; Metazoa; Chordata; Mammalia; Primates; Hominidae. The record is from RNAcentral.